This 482-nucleotide ribosomal RNA is filed under the name uncultured bacterium. Its description in RNAcentral is "partial 16S ribosomal RNA". It matches the Rfam family "Bacterial small subunit ribosomal RNA", at positions 30 to 507 of the family's 1533-position model. The record is from RNAcentral.
AUUGAACGCUGGCGGCAUGCCUUACACAUGCAAGUCGAACGGUAACGGGCCUUCGGGUGCCGACGAGUGGCGAACGGGUGCGUAAUACAUCGGAACGUGCCCGAUCGUGGGGGAUAACGAGGCGAAAGCUUUGCUAAUACCGCAUACGAUCUACGGAUGAAAGCAGGGGACCGCAAGGCCUUGCGCGGACGGACCGGCCGAUGGCAGAUUAGGUAGUUGGUGGGAUAAAAGCUUACCAAGCCGACGAUCUGUAGCUGGUCUGAGAGGAUGAUCAGCCACACUGGGACUGAGACACGGCCCAGACUCCUACGGGAGGCAGCAGUGGGGAAUUUUGGACAAUGGGCGCAAGCCUGAUCCAGCCAUGCCGCGUGCAGGAUGAAGGCCUUCGGGUUGUAAACUGCUUUUGUACGGAACGAAAAGCCUUCUUUUAAUACAGGAGGGUCAUGACGGUACCGUAAGAAUAAGCACCGGCUAACUACGUG